RNAcentral lists this long non-coding RNA (2326 nucleotides) under Homo sapiens (human). RNAcentral's name for it is "STXBP5 antisense RNA 1". The record is from RNAcentral. Lineage: Eukaryota; Metazoa; Chordata; Mammalia; Primates; Hominidae.
AGAAACACUCUGCUACAGAACAAGUGUCUUGGUUCACAGCAAAGAGGACAAAGAAAACAGCAAGUUUUAGGGGGUUGAAUCCUGGAUUCCCCUGGCAAACACCAUUCUACUUUCCGUCUCUAUGAAUUUGACUACUCGAAGUACCUCAUAUCAUUUGCUCCAGAAGAAGCUGGUUGCCAUGUCUUGAGGACAGUAAACCCUCUGGGGAGGUUCCUGUGGUAAGGAACAAGGGCUCCUGGCAAUAGCCUCUGAGUGAGCCACCUUGAAAAUGGAUUGUCCAGCCCCAGUCAAGCUUUCAGAUGACUGUAGCUCCUGCCAAUGUCUUCACCACAACCUCAUGAGAUCCCAAGCUACAACCACUCAGAACUUCAUCUUUUGGGAAGCACCAGGGAGAGCUGCCUGUGCCUGGCAGAAGCUGCCCAUGCCCCACUGAUACCCCACAGUACUUCCUGUUCUGCUUAGUACUCCUGCUUCUUUCUACAAACAACUGUGAUUCUCUACCUGGGAGCUUCCUCUGGCCACAGGAGCCUGCUCACCUGAUUGGGACACCCUAGCAGUACUGGCUCAUAGAUGGAAGGGACUUGCCUUGUCGCUGAUGAGACUUUCGACUUGGACUUUUGAGUCAAUGCUGGAAUGAGUUAAGACUUUGGGGAACUGUUGGAAGGGUGUGAUUGUGUUUUGAAUUGUGAGGACAUGAGAUUUUGAAGAGGCUAAUGGCAGCGUCCCCACCUAAAUCUCUUCUUGAAUUGUAGUUCCCAUAAUCCCCACGUGUCGUGGGGUGGAGCCGGUGGAGAUAAUUGAAUCAUGGGAACACUUUCCCCCAUGCUGUUAUUGUGAUUGUGAAUUCUCACGAGAUCUGAUGGUUGUAUAAACGCCUUCCCUCUUCGCUGGGCACUCAUUUUUCUCCUUCCUGCCACCAUGUGAAGAAGGAUAUGCUUGCUUCUUGUGCCAUGAUUACAAGAACACACUCAGAAAUUUUCUCAACACAGUUUCUAUGCAGAGAAGAGAUGUGGGACAGAUUUGAACUGCUGUCAUAUUUGUAUGAACCCAAGACAUUUUCCAAGACCAAGAGGGAUAAAGACAGCAAUUUCUAUGACUGGCAUUUUACGUGCAUGCACUGUUUCCAAGUGUUCUUGUGUUCUGUGCCUUAAACAUUCUGUGUUGCAACUUUAUGAAUUGAAUUAAAGAUAAUCCCAAGCCCCCAAUUGUCUCAAAAAGUGAAAAAGUAAAUGUUAUAGAAAGAAAAGCGGGAAAAACUUUAAGCAUGAAAUAAAAGAUGGGUUGUGAUAAAAGAGGACUGAAGAAGGAAAAGGAAUGAAAGGUUCUGCCAUCCUUCAUGGCAGCCCACUCCACUUGGUAUGAGAUACUGCUCCCUUGGCUGAAAGUUAACUGCUGUACUCCCUCCACUUUCUAUAAAUGACUCCCUGUGCCUUUCCUUCACCACACAACUCACACUCUCUUCCUUCCUAGUGAGUCCACUAAGGCUUCACUGCAUUAUUACAUUUAUUUCAUUUAGGAAAAACUGACUUUAUUUUCCUUCAAAUUGUUUUUUAUUGUUUAUAUGAGCUUGGUUUUAUUGUCAUUCUAUUUUUCUCCAUGAAAAUAGAGAAAAAUAGGGUCGAAAGGUUAGGUUGGGUGGAAAGGAAUUAUAUUUUUUCUCACUAAAAUUGAUGUAAAUAUCGUUUUCAAUUGAAUGAUUUUACACAGUGGCACAGUUUCAGGUAUGUUGCUAAGCAGGAAAGUUGUUAACCAAAGCAUGAAUGUAUUAAGGAGAUGUAUGCAGAAUGACAUGCAAGGUUAUCUAUGAUUGCUGAGUGAGAAAGAGCAAGUUGCUGAGUAUUAUAUAAGUAUGAUCUCACUUUUGUAAAAAAAAAAAAAAAAAAAGGCCUGGACUGAUCUGAAAUGACCCUAUUAAUAACAAUUAUGUCCAGGUCUGUAUUGCAUACUUGUCAUUCAUUACAGGAUCUUGAGACACAAUGCAAAGGAUCACAUCGCAGCUCUGUAACUUGUUAACUAUAAGAUUUUGAGUAACAUAACACCUUACUCCUUAAAAUUGCUUAAAAAAAAUCUGAACAUCAGGAAUAUUCUACUUCACAGGGUCGUUGUGAUAAUUAAAUGUAGUAAUCAAUGACAAUAGUGCCAGAUACAGUAGAUAGCCUACACUUUGCAGCUACUAUUUCUAUCUAUCAUCCAUCUAUUAAUAUAUAUCAUCUAUCUUUAACUUAUCAUCUAUCUUGUUCCAGUUUUUUAAAAUGAACAUGUAUUAACUUUGUAAAAAAUUAAGGCUAUAAGAUGUGCUGAGCUUUUGGAAUAGAUUUUCCUGUAC